This 445-nucleotide ribosomal RNA is filed under the name uncultured bacterium. Its description in RNAcentral is "partial 16S ribosomal RNA". It matches the Rfam family "Bacterial small subunit ribosomal RNA", at positions 29 to 523 of the family's 1533-position model. The record is from RNAcentral.
AACGAACGCUGGCGGCAGGCCUAACACAUGCAAGUCGAGCGCCCCGCAAGGGGAGCGGCGCACGGGAGAGUAACGCGUGGGAACCUUCCUUUGGUUCAGGACAACACCGGGAAACUGGUGCUAAUACUGGAUAAGUCCGUAAGGAGAAAGAUUUAUCGCCAAAAGAUGGGCCCGCGUUGGAUUAGCUAGUUGGUAGGGUAACGGCCUACCAAGGCAACGAUCCAUAGCUGGUCUGAGAGGAUGAUCAGCCUCCCUGGGACUGAGACACGGCCCAGACUCCUACGGGAGGCAGCAGUGGGGAAUAUUGGACAAUGGGGGCAACCUUGAUCCAGCCAUGCCGCGUGAGUGCUAAUGCCUUCGGGUUGUAAAACUCUUUUACCUACGACGAUGAUGACGGUAGUAGGAGAAUAAGCCCCGGCAAACUUCGUGCCAGCAGCCGCAGUAA